Molecule: ribosomal RNA, 465 nt
Filed under: uncultured bacterium
Lineage: Bacteria
Description: partial 16S ribosomal RNA
Rfam family: Bacterial small subunit ribosomal RNA
Source: RNAcentral
GACGAACGCUGGCGGCGUGCUUAACACAUGCAAGUCGAACGGAAAGGCCCUGCUUGCCGGGUACUCGAGUGGCGAACGGGUGAGUAACACGUGGGUGAUCUGCCCUGCACUUCGGGCUAAGCCUGGGAAACUGGGUCUAAUACCGGAUAGGAGCCAUUUUUAGUGUGAUGGUUGGACAGUUUUUUCGGUGUAGGAUGAGCUCGCGGCCUAUCAGCUUGUUGGUGGGGUAAUGGCCUACCAAGGCGGCGACGGGUAGCCGGCCUGAGAGGGUGGACGGCCACAUUGGGACUGAGAUACGGCCCAGACUCCGACGGGAGGCAGCAGUGGGGAAUAUUGCACAAUGGGCGCAAGCCGGAUGCAGCGACGCCGCGUGGGGGAUGACGGCCUUAGGGUUGUAAACGCCUUUCGCUAGGGACGAAGCUUUUUGUGACGGUACCUAGAGAAGAAGCACCGGCUAACUACGUG